GACGAACGCUGGCGGCGUGCUUAACACAUGCAAGUCGAACGGUGAAGCGCCUUCCUUUUUGGUGGGUGUGGAUGAGUGGCGAACGAGUGAGUAACACGUGAGUAACCUGCCCCCUUCUUCUGGAUAACCGCAUGAAAGUGUGGCUAAUACGGGAUAUUCUGGGUCUGUCGCAUGAUGGGUCUGGGAAAGAUAUUGUUUCGGUGGGGGAUGGGCUCGCGGCCUAUCAGCUUGUUGGUGGGGUGAUGGCCUACCAAGGCGGUGACGGGUAGCCGGCCUGAGAGGGUGGACGGUCACACUGGGACUGAGACACGGCCCAGACUCAGACGGGAGGCAGCAGUGGGGAAUAUUGCACAAUGGGCGAAAGCCUGAUGCAGCGACGCCGCGUGAGGGAUGGAGGCCUUCGGGUUGUGAACCUCUUUCGCCAGUGAAGCAGGCCUGCCUCGUUUGUGGGUGGGUUGACGGUAGCUGGAUAAGAAGCGCCGGCUAACUACGUG
This 494-nucleotide ribosomal RNA is filed under the name uncultured bacterium. RNAcentral describes it as "partial 16S ribosomal RNA". It matches the Rfam family "Bacterial small subunit ribosomal RNA", at positions 28 to 507 of the family's 1533-position model. The record is from RNAcentral.